RNAcentral lists this ribosomal RNA (574 nucleotides) under uncultured Methanospirillaceae archaeon. RNAcentral's name for it is "bacterial SSU rRNA". It matches the Rfam family "Archaeal small subunit ribosomal RNA", at positions 148 to 727 of the family's 1478-position model. The record is from RNAcentral. Lineage: Archaea; Methanobacteriati; Methanobacteriota; Methanomicrobia; Methanomicrobiales; Methanospirillaceae.
AAUGCUCUAUAGUCCGGGAGGACUGGAAUGUUCUCCGGAUGAAAGAUCCGUCGCUUCAGGAUGAGUCUGCGGCCGAUUAGGUAGUUGUUGGGGUAAAAGCCCAACAAGCCUGUAAUCGGUACGGGUUGUGGGAGCAAGAGCCCGGAGAUGGAUUCUGAGACACGAAUCCAGGCCCUACGGGGCGCAGCAGGCGCGAAAACUUUACAAUGCGGGCAACCGUGAUAAGGAAACCCCGAGUGCCAGCACAGGCUGGCUGUCCACCAGUGUAAACAACUGGUGAAGAAAGGGCCGGGCAAGACCGGUGCCAGCCGCCGCGGUAAUACCGGCGGCUCGAGUGGUGGCCGCUUUUACUGGGCUUAAAGGGUCCGUAGCUUGAUCCAUGGGUCCCUUGAGAAAUCCAUCAGCUUAACUGCUGGGCGUUCAGGGGAAACUGUGGUUCUAGGGACCGGGAGAGGUAAGAGGUACUGCCGGGGUAGGAGUGAAAUCCUGUAAUCCCGGUGGGACGACCUAUAGCGAAGGCAUCUUACCAGAACGGCUCCGACAGUGAGGGACGAAAGCUGGGGGAGCAAACCGG